GCCGGAGUGGCGGAACAGGCAGACGCACAGGACUUAAAAUCCUGCGAAGCUAAAACUUCGUACCGGUUCGAUUCCGGUCUCCGGCACCA
RNAcentral lists this transfer RNA (89 nucleotides) under Clostridiaceae bacterium. RNAcentral's name for it is "tRNA-Leu". It matches the Rfam family "tRNA". From Rfam's summary of the family: Transfer RNA (tRNA) molecules are approximately 80 nucleotides in length. Their secondary structure includes four short double-helical elements and three loops (D, anti-codon, and T loops). Further hydrogen bonds mediate the characteristic L-shaped molecular structure. tRNAs have two regions of fundamental functional importance: the anti-codon, which is responsible for specific mRNA codon recognition, and the 3' end, to which the tRNAs corresponding amino acid is attached (by aminoacyl-tRNA synthetases). tRNAs cope with the degeneracy of the genetic code in two manners: having more than one tRNA (with a specific anti-codon) for a particular amino acid; and 'wobble' base-pairing, i.e. permitting non-standard base-pairing at the 3rd anti-codon position. The record is from RNAcentral. Lineage: Bacteria; Bacillati; Bacillota; Clostridia; Eubacteriales; Clostridiaceae.